GCCCGGGUGCUGGAAUUGGUAGACAGGCAUGGUUGAGGGCCAUGUGUUCAUUAGGGCGUGCGGGUUCAAGUCCCGCUCCGGGUACAA
Molecule: transfer RNA, 87 nt
Filed under: Gillisia sp. Hel1_33_143
Lineage: Bacteria; Pseudomonadati; Bacteroidota; Flavobacteriia; Flavobacteriales; Flavobacteriaceae
Description: tRNA_Leu_GAG
Rfam family: tRNA
About the family: Transfer RNA (tRNA) molecules are approximately 80 nucleotides in length. Their secondary structure includes four short double-helical elements and three loops (D, anti-codon, and T loops). Further hydrogen bonds mediate the characteristic L-shaped molecular structure. tRNAs have two regions of fundamental functional importance: the anti-codon, which is responsible for specific mRNA codon recognition, and the 3' end, to which the tRNAs corresponding amino acid is attached (by aminoacyl-tRNA synthetases). tRNAs cope with the degeneracy of the genetic code in two manners: having more than one tRNA (with a specific anti-codon) for a particular amino acid; and 'wobble' base-pairing, i.e. permitting non-standard base-pairing at the 3rd anti-codon position.
Source: RNAcentral